Molecule: long non-coding RNA, 375 nt
Organism: Sinocyclocheilus rhinocerous
Lineage: Eukaryota; Metazoa; Chordata; Actinopteri; Cypriniformes; Cyprinidae
Exons: 3
Source: RefSeq, a predicted model, not a curated record
UCCAAGAAAAAAAAAUAUUCAGCAAAUCUAGACAUUAGACUCAUGUUUGAAACAUGAGACAUCGCAGUGCAACAUCAAACAAGGAGACACGGGCAGACUAUACAGCGAACUAACUAAAUCGCGGAGGAAUUUCAGACGAACAACUCAUGAACUUGAGGAAGCUGUCCGUUGGGCUGGCGCGAAGAAGCAUAUUCAACGUGGAUGAGGCACACGCUUGUGAGUCUGAGACUGGAUGAAGGGCAUUGUUUGUCUGUGAGUCUGAGACUGGAUGAGGGGUAAGUUUUGCAUUUAUGUACUAAAUAAAGAAUAUAAACCAUAUCUUGUUAAGAUAAGCCAACAUUUCAACGACUUCUGAUUUUUUCCCCUACAUUUCUA